Molecule: transfer RNA, 68 nt
Filed under: human gut metagenome
Rfam family: tRNA
About the family: Transfer RNA (tRNA) molecules are approximately 80 nucleotides in length. Their secondary structure includes four short double-helical elements and three loops (D, anti-codon, and T loops).
Source: RNAcentral
CGGAUAUAGUUCAGUGGUAGAAUGUCAGCUUCCCAAGCUGAAAAUGCGGGUUCGAUCCCCGUUAUCCG